GGCCAGACUCCUACGGGAGGCAGCAGUGGGGAAUAUUGCACAAUGGGGGAAACCCUGAUGCAGCGACGCCGCGUGAGCGAAGAAGUAUUUCGGUAUGUAAAGCUCUAUCAGCAGGGAAGAAAAUGACGGUACCUGAGUAAGAAGCUCCGGCUAAAUACGUGCCAGCAGCCGCGGUAAUACGUAGGGGGCAAGCGUUAUCCGGAUUUACUGGGUGUAAAGGGGGCGCAGACGGCGAUGCAAGCCAGGAGUGAAAGCCCGGGGCCCAACCCCGGGACUGCCCUUGGAACUGCGUGGCUGGAGUGCAGGAGGGGCAGGCGGAAUUCCUGGUGUAGCGGUGAAAUGCGUAGAUAUCAGGAGGAACACCGGUGGCGAAGGCGGCCUGCUGGACUGCAACUGACGUUGAGGCCCGAAAGCGUGGGGAGCAAACAGGAUUAGAUACCCUAGUA
RNAcentral lists this ribosomal RNA (446 nucleotides) under uncultured bacterium. RNAcentral describes it as "bacterial SSU rRNA". It matches the Rfam family "Bacterial small subunit ribosomal RNA", at positions 329 to 792 of the family's 1533-position model. The record is from RNAcentral.